Small nuclear RNA from Octodon degus (degu), 107 nucleotides. NCBI's taxonomy places the organism in Eukaryota, Metazoa, Chordata, Mammalia, Rodentia, Octodontidae. The record is from Ensembl.
AUACUCAACUUGGCAGCAUACAUACUGAAAUUGGAAUGAAAUGGAGAAGAUUAACACAGCCCAUGUGCAAGGAUGACAGGCAAAUCUGUGAGGUACUCCAUAUUUUU